Molecule: long non-coding RNA, 1032 nt
Organism: Cheilinus undulatus (humphead wrasse)
Lineage: Eukaryota; Metazoa; Chordata; Actinopteri; Labriformes; Labridae
Exons: 3
Source: RefSeq, a predicted model, not a curated record
UCAAGAGACGCUAGGAAGACAGUUAGCAAAAUGCAAUAAGAAAACUCAGUGGAGUGUUCAAGAAUCAGGCGUUUAGAGAGGAGGACACUGGAGGAGACACUUAGAAUUAAAGACCUGACAGACCAGAUACCAGGAUGAAGCAACAAAGCUGUGAGUAAUAUUAAGAAAGUCAGGACGCCCAGACAGCGUGGGAGAGCUUUCUGUGAACACGUUCAGAGGACUUUUAAAGGGAUUUGGAGAGUUUUUCUAUAAAAUGUCUCACAGAGAGAAGUCAUGACUGACAAAUCUGCUGUUUUUGAAAAGUACCUGAGUUGCCACCUGUUUUUAUAUGUAUUUAUGUUGUCACUCUGUUAAGUUACUGUUAAAGUUCAAAUCUAUAAAUACUCAGGAAUAAAACAUCAGUGGAUAUGUAGGUGUUAGGUGUUUAUUUAGACAUAAUAAGUGAAAUCAGAAAGGGUUAAAAAUGCUCUUCAUUCCUGUGUGUUUUCACACCAGGUUACCCUUAUAUGACCCCAGUUAGGCCGUCCCAGUCUAACAGUCUGGCUCCGCCCCUCUUCUGGAGGACUGUAACUGCAGGUUGAGUCAUGAGAACAGAUUAUUUUACCAGCUCACAUAAACCAGUAAAACCUCUGAAAUCCUACUGAAGCAGGAGUAUCAUUAGACGUUAGGGUCAAAGGUCGGGUAUUAAAGUCCACAGACAGGGUGAGUUAUUAUCAGCCGUACAAAGGAACAAUGAUUAUAAAUUACUGGUUCAAAAACAGCCGGAGACCAGAUCCACUGCAGCCUGUCCAGGAUGUCCUCAAGACCCCUGCAACCCCAAACGGGACGAGCUGUAGACAAAAAUGUCUUUAAUGCUCCGCGGCAUUUCACAGGGCCGUCUCCUCUAAUGUGACGGUCCAGGUCCAGAACCUCCUUCAUCUAAUACCAGACCCUCCUCCAUCUAAUACCAGACCCUCCUCCAUCCAAUACCAGACCCUCCUCCAUCUCAUACCAGACCCUCCUCCAUCUAAUACCAGACCCUCCUCCAUCUAA